AGGCUGAAACUCAAAGGAAUUGACGGGGACCAGCACAAGCGGUGGAGCAUGUGGUUUAAUUCGAAGUAACGCGAAGAACCUUACCAGGUCUUGACAUCCUUUGACCACUCUAGAGAUAGAGCUUUCCCUUCGGGGUCAAAGUGACAGGUGAAACAUGGUUGUCGUCAGCUCGUGUCGUGAGAUGUUGGGUUAAGUCCCGCAACGAGCGCAACCCUUAUUACUAGUUGCCAGCAUUUAGUUGGGCACUCUAGUGAGACUGCCGGUGACAAACCGGAGGAAGGUGGGGAUGACGUCAAAUCAUCAUGCCCCUUAUGACCUGGGCUACACACGUGCUACAAUGGAUGGUACAACGAGUCGCAAGGUCGCGAGGCCAAGCU
This 377-nucleotide ribosomal RNA is filed under the name Carnobacterium maltaromaticum. RNAcentral's name for it is "bacterial SSU rRNA". It matches the Rfam family "Bacterial small subunit ribosomal RNA", at positions 891 to 1269 of the family's 1533-position model. The record is from RNAcentral. Lineage: Bacteria; Bacillati; Bacillota; Bacilli; Lactobacillales; Carnobacteriaceae.